AGGGGGACACCGAGUGCGAGGGCAUAGAGCCCUCGCUUUUGUAGACCGUAAGGAGGUCUACGAAUAAGGGCUGGGCAAGACCGGUGCCAGCCGCCGCGGUAACACCGGCAGCCCAAGUGAUGGCCGAUAUUAUUGGGCCUAAAGCGUCCGUAGCUGGCCGCGCAAGUUCGUCGGGAAAUCCACUCGCUUAACGAGUGGGCGUCCGGCGAAAACUGUGCGGCUUGGGACCGGAAGAUCCAAGGGGUACGUCCGGGGUAGGAGUGAAAUCCCGUAAUCCUGGACGGACCACCGAUGGCGAAAGCACCUUGGAAGGACGGAUCCGACAGUGAGGGACGAAAGCUAGGGUCUCGAACCGGAUUAGAUACCCGGGUAGUCCUAGCCGUAAACGAUGCUCGCUAGGUGUGGCGCAGGCUACGAGCCUGCGCUGUGCCGUAGGGAAGCCGUGAAGCGAGCCGCCUGGGAAGUACGUCUGCAAGGAUGAAACUUAAAGGAAUUGGCGGGGGAGCACUACAACCGGAGGAGCCUGCGGUUUAAUUGGACUCAACGCCGGACAUCUCACCAGCUCCGACAGCAGUAAUGACGGUCAGGUUGAUGACCUUACCCGACGCUGCUGAGAGGAGGUGCAUGGCCGCCGUCAGCUCGUACCGUGAGGCGUCCUGUUAAGUCAGGCAACGAGCGAGACCCGCACCUCUAGUUGCCAGCAGCAUCUUGCGAUGGCUGGGUACACUAGGGGGACUGCCGUCGCUAAGACGGAGGAAGGAACGGGCAACGGUAGGUCAGUAUGCCCCGAAUGAGCUGGGCUACACGCGGGCUACAAUGGUCGAGACAGUGGGAUGCGACACCGAGAGGUGGAGCUAAUCUCCUAAACUCGAUCGUAGUUCGGAUUGCGGGCUGAAACCCGCCCGCAUGAAGCUGGAUUCGGUAGUA
RNAcentral lists this ribosomal RNA (927 nucleotides) under uncultured Halobacteria archaeon. Its description in RNAcentral is "bacterial SSU rRNA". It matches the Rfam family "Archaeal small subunit ribosomal RNA", at positions 372 to 1296 of the family's 1478-position model. Lineage: Archaea; Methanobacteriati; Methanobacteriota; Halobacteria. The record is from RNAcentral.